Molecule: non-coding RNA, 73 nt
Organism: Paramuricea clavata
Lineage: Eukaryota; Metazoa; Cnidaria; Anthozoa; Malacalcyonacea; Plexauridae
Source: the annotation of a GenBank genome assembly
GACCGCGUAGCUCAGUUGGCAGAGCAUUGGGCUAGUAUUCCAAAGGUCGUAGGUUCGGUUCCCACCGUGGCCA